RNAcentral lists this ribosomal RNA (881 nucleotides) under uncultured fungus. Its description in RNAcentral is "eukaryotic LSU rRNA". The stretch from base 299 to 452 matches the Rfam family "5.8S ribosomal RNA". The record is from RNAcentral. Lineage: Eukaryota; Fungi.
CGGACCGUCCAGUGGGGAUCGGCAACGAUCAGCACCGGAUGGAAAGCUAGUCAAACUUGGUCAUUUAGAGGAAGUAAAAGUCGUAACAAGGUUUCCGUAGGUGAACCUGCGGAAGGAUCAUUAAUACGUAUGGUGUUGCAUCCUGCACACUCCGUCCCCACUCACUCCGAGUACCUCUCCAUUUGCUUCUCGGAACUAGGGUCUUGCCCGCCCUGGGCGUGGCUCUGCUGAGGGGAACAACCGAAACUCUUUUGUAUACCAAUGCUCUCAGUCUGAGUUUUGUUAGAAGAAACGUUAAAACUUUCAGCAACGGAUCUCUUGGUUCUCGCAUCGAUGAAGAACGCAGCGAAAUGCGAUAAGUAGUGUGAAUUGCAGAAUUCAGUGAAUCAUCGAAUCUUUGAACGCACCUUGCGCUCCUUGGUAUUCCGAGGAGCAUGCCUGUUUGAGUGUCAUGAAAACCCUCAACCUUAGAUUGGUUAUUUGACCUUUCUUUGGCUUGGAUUUGGACGUUUGCCGAUGUCAAGUCGGCUCGUCUUAAAAGUAAUAGCUGGAUCUGUCUCGCGACAUGGUUUGACUUGGCGUAAUAAGUAUUUCGCUAAGGACAUCUUCGGAUGGCCCUGUUGCAGGACUAAAGACCGCUUUCUAAUCCAUUGAUCUUCGGAUUAAUAUUCAUAACAUCUGGCCUCAAAUCAGGUAGGACUACCCGCUGAACUUAAGCAUAUCAAUAAGCGGAGGAAAAGAAACUAACAAGGAUUCCCCUAGUAACGGCGAGUGAAGCGGGAAGAGCUCAAAUUUGAAAUCUGGUAGCCUUCGGUUGCCCGAGUUGUAAUCUAGAGAAGUGUUUUCCGCGUUGGCCCAUGUACAAGUCCCUUGGAACAGGG